ACUUGAAGCUAUACCACCAAUACCUACAAGCCCAUUAGAAUUUACAAGUUGAGUAGCUUUGAGUUAGGUCAAUGCUAGGAUGGGAGACCUCCAAAGAAAAUCCAGAUGCCUCAGAGUU
Molecule: ribosomal RNA, 118 nt
Filed under: Choloepus hoffmanni (Hoffmann's two-fingered sloth)
Lineage: Eukaryota; Metazoa; Chordata; Mammalia; Pilosa; Megalonychidae
Source: RNAcentral